Molecule: long non-coding RNA, 1849 nt
Organism: Danio rerio (zebrafish)
Lineage: Eukaryota; Metazoa; Chordata; Actinopteri; Cypriniformes; Danionidae
Source: Ensembl
GUUUGGUCUCUUCUCAUGUCUCCGGGUCGACCUGAUGAACUUUGCUGAAUCUGGUGCCUAAUAUAGGGGAAAUCUUACAGAUCUGGGGGCUCGUCCGGGAUACAUCUGAUCAGAUUUUGGGGGCCCCCUCAGCACAGACGACACCUCUACAGCUGCAAUUCACCUCUACAGCUGCACAAUUGCGUUUGGGAGACAGAUGGGAGCUAAACACGUAGCACUGUCUACCUUAAGGCAAGGGUCAGCAUGACUUCCUUUUUGCUGCGGACAAUUGGACUGUUUCUCUUUCUUGUUGCUCAAGCUAAUGCAGCCAGGCUGAAACGCUGGACACAUGAUCAUGAAUUUGGAUGGGCAGAGGAUGGGGCUGACAAUCCAACUGAAAUAAUAUGUGGUAUCAAUAUGUGAAAGUUUUAGCUAGGUCAUAUAAUGUAUCUGGUUGUUAUGUAUGUUCUGUUAUGCCUCAUUCAGCCAAGCAAACCCCUCUUUAUGCUAAACCCAUGAAUAAAACAGCUGCUAAAUGUUUUGCCAGUUUUGCAGGAUCAGGGUACCAGGACCCAUAUAUAUAAUUGUCGAUGACUAUGAUCCAUACCGGAUUGGCAUUAGAAAUGGUACAUGUGAUGCUCUAUUUUGGGUAAAAUUUGGCCAUGCUAAACCCUCACCUAUUAGCCACAAGGUUUUUAUUAACCACUCUAUUACACACCCUGUGUGUUAUAACCAGACCAUGGGCUCUCAUUUCAUGGGAAGCACUGUUAACUGUCAACAAAUUGCCUCCUCGGGAGAGGGGGCCCCAGUCGACAUCUCAGGACCCUCAAAUGGCACUUAUGUGGUCCAGGGUGGGUGAUGGUUGUGUGGGAAAAAACGCCUACAUGUCAUUACCGGCCAACUGGACGGGGCAGUGUGCCCCUGUGCAUGUGACUGAUCACACUUUUAUUGUGACAGCCCAGGUCCUGUCAGCGCAGCAAAGAGUUAAACGCAGUGUCCCUGAAAUGAAGCCUCAUGACUCUGUAUGGGGUACUGAUGUGCCCGAGGAUUUAAAAUUAUGGACCACUGGUAACAAAGUGGUAUUGGCUCUAUUUCCGCAAAUAGGUGUGGGAAAAGCUCUACUAAGAAUUGAGACCCUGGACUAUCGCAUGGGCCUAUUUCUGAAUGCCUCAAAAAUAAUUAAUGAGGCCCAGAAUAAGGAGCUGGGUAAUCUACGUACCAUGGUUUUGCAAAACAGAAUGGCUCUAGAUCUCUUAGCAGCAUCCCAGGGGGCGGUAUGUAAAUGAGUACUGCUAUGUCUACUCUCCAAGGGUUAAAAAUUGCUAUGACUUCUGAUUAUGUCCCAGACACCACAUGGGGUUGGAUGAUGGGUCUGUUCGGCUGGGUGACUCCUUUCCUUACUAUGAUAAUUCCUGUAUGUAUUAUUUUCCUUCUUGUUUGUUGUUGUGGUCCUUUUCUCUUGCAAUGUUUAAUGAAUCGAAUCUAUGCCACAAUGGACAGUAUGAUGGGUCAACGAUAUGAUAAGAUUCCUCUGUGUUAGGCCUUUGGCCUAAAAGAGGGGACUGAGAGAACAUUUUGUCCUCUUUUAAGUGUGCUUGCAUGAGAAGCAGAAGUGUCUGUGGUUUUUUGUGUGUGUGUGUGUGCAUCGGAGGUCUGAAGGUCAACGUCUGGUUUCGGUCUUGCAGACAGCUCCCACACUGAAUGGAAAGCCCCGCUAUAUAUACAUUUCUUCUUUAUUCUGUUUGUAUAACAUGCCCAUAUUAAGAGUGUCUUCCUUCUUCUGUAUAACUUUUAAAGGUCAGCCCACUAUGUAUAUAUGUCCCUGCUCAUCCUUAUCAUCAGGCUUGCAGAAUAAACCAUUCUAACUACA